RNAcentral lists this ribosomal RNA (493 nucleotides) under uncultured bacterium. RNAcentral describes it as "partial 16S ribosomal RNA". It matches the Rfam family "Bacterial small subunit ribosomal RNA", at positions 29 to 523 of the family's 1533-position model. The record is from RNAcentral.
AUUGAACGCUGGCGGCAUGCUUUACACAUGCAAGUCGAACGGUAACAGGUUAAGCUGACGAGUGGCGAACGGGUGAGUAAUGCAUCGGAACGUGCCCGAUCGUGGGGGAUAACGCAGCGAAAGCUGCGCUAAUACCGCAUACGAUCUGAGGAUGAAAGCGGGGGACCGUAAGGCCUCGCGCGAUCGGAGCGGCCGAUGUCAGAUUAGGUAGUUGGUGGGGUAAAGGCUCACCAAGCCAACGAUCUGUAGCUGGUCUGAGAGGACGACCAGCCACACUGGGACUGAGACACGGCCCAGACUCCUACGGGAGGCAGCAGUGGGGAAUUUUGGACAAUGGGCGAAAGCCUGAUCCAGCAGUGCCGCGUGCAGGAAGAAGGCCUUCGGGUUGUAAACUGCUUUUGUACGGAGCGAAAAGGCUCUCUCUAAUACAGGGGGCUCAUGACGGUACCGUAAGAAUAAGCACCGGCUAACUACGUGCCAGCCGCCGCGGUAA